ACUGGUGUACUGGUGUUCGGGUUGUCAUGCCAAUGGCACUGCCCGGUAGCUAAAUGCGGAAGAGAUAAGUGCUGAAAGCAUCUAAGCACGAAACUUGCCCCGAGAUGAGUUCUCCCUGAGACUUAGAGUCUCCUGAAGGAACGUUGAAGACGACGACGUUGAUAGGCCGGGUGUGUAAGCGCAGCGAUGCGUUGAGCUAACCGGUACUAAUGAACCGUGAGGCUUAACCUU
RNAcentral lists this ribosomal RNA (231 nucleotides) under Salmonella enterica. Its description in RNAcentral is "partial 23S ribosomal RNA". It matches the Rfam family "Bacterial large subunit ribosomal RNA", at positions 2697 to 2925 of the family's 2925-position model. The record is from RNAcentral. Lineage: Bacteria; Pseudomonadati; Pseudomonadota; Gammaproteobacteria; Enterobacterales; Enterobacteriaceae.